AUGGGCACCCUCCUGCCCAAGCUGGCCGACCUGAUUACCAAGGAGUACAACCUUCAGAGGGGACUCAGGGGUGAGAUCAUGUUCCUCAAAGCUGAGAUGGAGAGCAUGGAGACAGCUCUCCUCAGGAUUUCUGAGGCGCCAAUCGACCAGCCACCGGACGUCCAAGUCAAGCUUUGGGCCAAGGCGGUGAGGGACUUGUCAUAUGACCUAGAAGAUAGCAUCGGCAAGUUCAUUGUGCGCAUCGAAACCCAUGGCCGACCAGAGAAGUCCCAUAGCUUCAGGAAUUUCAUUGAUGAAAGCCUCAGCCUGCUGACCAAGGGCAAGAUUCGCCACAAGAUCGGCAUGGAUAUCAAAGACAUCAAGAGCCGCAUCAAGGAGGUCAGUGAGCGGCGUGAUAGGUACAAGGUUGACAGUGUGGCUGCUGCCAAGCCAGUUGGUCCAGCUAUUGAUACCCUUCGCCUAUCAGCCUUGUAUAAAAAGGCCACCGAGCUCGUUGGCACUGACGAGAAGAGCGUUGAGGUAAUCAAGAUGCUGACUGAGGGAGACAUGAUUUCCCAGAAACAGCUGAAGGUGGUCUCUAUUGUUGGAUUUGGUGGAUUAGGCAAGACAACCCUUGCUAAUGCAGUCUAUGGGAAGUUGAAAGUGCAAAAAGAUAAUCAAGAACAGCAGUUCGAUUGUUCAGCUUUUAUUUCGGUCUCUCUUAAUCCUAACAUGGAGCAGAUUUUCAAGAGCUUGCUCCAUCAACUCGACAAGCACAGGACCCAGAACACCAAUGAGGCAUCGUGGGGUGAAGAACAACUCAUCCGUGAAAUGAGAACAUUUCUUGANNNNNNNNNGUACUUGAUUGUUAUUGACGACGUAUGGGAUAAGUCCGUCUGGGAAAACAUCAAAUAUGCGUUGAUUGAGAAUGAAUAUGGAAGUAGAGUAAUCACAACAACUCGCAUCCUUGAUGUUGCCCAGCAAGCUGGUGGCGUUUAUCGGCUGAAUCCUCUUUCUACUGUGGACUCAAGAAAGUUAUUCUAUCAAAGAAUAUAUGAUAUGGAGAACAAAUCACCACCUAAUCAAUUGGUUGAAGUAUCUGAGAACAUUUUAAAGAGAUGUGGGGGUGUGCCUCUAGCUAUCCUUACAAUAGGUAGCUUGCUGUCCAACCAAAAGGGCAGAGCACAUACACACCAGUAUUGGUCCAAGGUGUACAAAUCUAUCAGUUCAGGGCUAGACAGUAAUCAUGAUGAUGUGAAGAACAUGAGAAGGAUAUUAUCAGUCAGUUACUCUGACCUUCCUCCACACAUAAAGACUUGUUUACUGCAUCUCAGUUUGUAUCCAGAGGAUUAUCAGAUUGAAACACAGCAAUUGAUUUGGAAAUGGGUGGGUGAAGGUUUUGUGAAAGAGGAACCGGGGAUGAGCUUGUAUGAAGUAGGAGAGGGUUACUUGGAUCAACUAAUUAAUAAAAGCUUGGUCCAACCUGUACAUCAUGAUAAUACACAUAAAGUGCCCUUUUGUCGCGUACACGAUAUGGUGCGUGACCUCAUCACCUCUUUGUCAAAUGAGGAGAAUUUCCUAACAACAGUAGGUGGUCUGCAGCCAUUGCAUCUACCAAGUAAGAUACGCCGGUUGUCCGUUGAGACCAACAUUGAAGAAGUUGUUGAUCAGCUGCUAACAACGAGCUUGUACCAUGUGAGGUCACUUACUGUGUCUAGUCCAGCUUUUAGUUUGUUGCCAGAACUUUCGGGUUUUCUAGUUCUUCGUGUGUUAGAUUUAACUGACUGCAAGCAAGUGGAUAAUAAUCUUUGGAAAGAUAUAUGCAGUUUAUUUCACUUGAGAUAUCUGAGUUUAAAGGGAACAUCCAUCACUAAGCUACCCAAAGGGAUUAGGAAUCUGCAGUUUCUGCAAGUGCUUGACAUAAGGUCCACCAAAAUAGAAGAAGAGUUGCCGUCAACCAUUAUUCAACUAAAACAACUGUUGUUAUUCCACAUGCUUGAUAGCGUCGCUUGUGCAGUGCCAAGGUGGAUGUGCUCCAUGUCUUUCCUCUUCUCCCUAAGUAUCACACUUGAAACACUGGUAGAGGAGGACCUUCAGGUCCUUGGGAGCAUACCAUCUCUCAGUGAACUGCACAUACAAGUAAAGAAUCCGACACAAGGCAGAGAAAACAGGCUGGUUGUUGGCAGUGGUUAUCCAUUUCAGUGUCUGACGAGGUUUACUGUCAAAAGUCACACCAUGGAGAUGAAGUUUGCACGAGGAGCCAUGCAAAAUCUACACACCCUGCAGUUAUAUUCCAGUAAUUUGCAUGACACAUUGGUUCAGUUUGGCGACCUUGUUUUGGGUUUAGAGAAUCUCUCUUUACUUGAGCAUAUUUCUGUUGAGUUCGGCAGCGGCAAUGUCACAGAUGAGGAGAUGAGAAAUGUCAGAAAUGCAGUUCAGAAAGAGAUAGAUAUGAAUCGAAAUAUGCCCAUACUAAUGUUCCCUGGAACAGCCGAGGAAAAAGCUGAUGAUUUCAUCAGGAAAUACAGAUCUGAGCUGAAGAAGCAUAUAGCCUCAAGGGCAGACCCAGAAUUUUUUUGGAGCGGGGCCAAAUCAACGCGGGAUUACUUCUUCGAACUUGGUUGGAGUGCGGCCAAAUCAACAUGGAAUUACUUCUUCGAAUAUGGUUGGACUAGGGCCAAAUCAACUUGGGAUUACUUCUUCGAACAUGGUUGGAGUGGGUGCAAAUCAACGUGA
This 2715-nucleotide ribosomal RNA is filed under the name Triticum aestivum (bread wheat). Its description in RNAcentral is "partial small subunit ribosomal RNA". Lineage: Eukaryota; Viridiplantae; Streptophyta; Magnoliopsida; Poales; Poaceae. The record is from RNAcentral.